UACGUAGGGUGCGAGCGUUGUCCGGAAUUAUUGGGCGUAAAGAGCUCGUAGGCGGUCUGUCGCGUCGAAUGUGAAAACCCGGGGCUCAACUCCGGGCUUGCAUUCGAUACGGGCAGGCUAGAGUUCGGUAGGGGAGACUGGAAUUCCUGGUGUAGCGGUGAAAUGCGCAGAUAUCAGGAGGAACACCGGUGGCGAAGGCGGGUCUCUGGGCCGAUACUGACGCUGAGGAGCGAAAGCGUGGGGAGCGAGCAGG
RNAcentral lists this ribosomal RNA (253 nucleotides) under uncultured bacterium. RNAcentral describes it as "partial 16S ribosomal RNA". It matches the Rfam family "Bacterial small subunit ribosomal RNA", at positions 524 to 776 of the family's 1533-position model. The record is from RNAcentral.